AUAUCUUUCUCGGCCUUUUGGCUAAGAAUCAAGACAUUGUCUCACGGAUAUUAAAUUAAUCUUUUGUUGGGGAGGACUAAUACAAUGGCUUGCCAUUGAGACCAUCAUGUGUUGCUCUAGUGUUGCACUACUGCUUGGGCCGGCACACCCCAA
Molecule: small nuclear RNA, 153 nt
Filed under: Leersia perrieri
Lineage: Eukaryota; Viridiplantae; Streptophyta; Magnoliopsida; Poales; Poaceae
Description: snRNA U2
Rfam family: U2 spliceosomal RNA
About the family: U2 is a small nuclear RNA (snRNA) component of the spliceosome (involved in pre-mRNA splicing). Complementary binding between U2 snRNA (in an area lying towards the 5' end but 3' to hairpin I) and the branchpoint sequence (BPS) of the intron results the bulging out of an unpaired adenosine, on the BPS, which initiates a nucleophilic attack at the intronic 5' splice site, thus starting the first of two transesterification reactions that mediate splicing.
Source: Rfam by way of RNAcentral